UUAUUGUCUUUGUCGAUUAAAUACCUGUAUUGUAAAAUUGUAUGACUAUAAAAGGAUAAAUUUUGAUUUACUAAAGGUGAUCUUCUGAGAUAUUUUGAGGGAAAGAGGUAGUAUACCAAAAUGGAAAUACUACGCAAGAAACUUACAACCAAGUUGAAAAGACAAGAGCCAUAAAAUAAAAUAAUAGCAAAUUAAUAUAAAACCUGGAUAAAGAAUGUAAUAACUAGAUGACCAAUUUGAGAGUGCUUAUUGGGACUUAUGAAGAAAAAGAAAUUGAAAAAAGGAGCUCUUUCUGAGAUGAAGAGAAUUCUCAAUGUCAAGAUUUGAACAAGAAGAGAAUGGAAUACACAAUAUGGACAUCCAUAAAAAUUCAUCAGAGAGCAUUUUACUACUGAGCUGCAAAGGGAAAAACUUAAAAUGGAUAUGAAAAGUGAAGAAAGUGAUCAUAGGAGAAAACCAUUUCAGGUGUCUGAUGAUUUGUGAGCCUCAAGUGACUACUCUGUGGAAUCAUCUGUCCUUGCCUUUGAAUUAGCUUUCCCUAGGCCAUGAGUCAACAUUAGUAGUUUAUACAUCCAAAUUGAUGACAAGAGCACCUCAAAGGCAGCAGCCUCAAGGAGCAGCCAUGGCCCCAGACUUGUCGCACGGAUGCAGAAAACUUAAUGGAGGAGGCUGAGGUCAGAAUGGGAAGAGUUUUUAAAAAAUAAAAAGGGGAGCUAAUAUGU
This 722-nucleotide long non-coding RNA is filed under the name Homo sapiens (human). Its description in RNAcentral is "mir-99a-let-7c cluster host gene". The record is from RNAcentral. Lineage: Eukaryota; Metazoa; Chordata; Mammalia; Primates; Hominidae.